Molecule: ribosomal RNA, 498 nt
Filed under: uncultured bacterium
Lineage: Bacteria
Description: partial 16S ribosomal RNA
Rfam family: Bacterial small subunit ribosomal RNA
Source: RNAcentral
AUUGAACGCUGGCGGCAUGCCUCACACAUGCAAGUCGAACGGUAACGCGGGGCAACCUGGCGACGAGUGGCGAACGGGUGAGUAAUGCAUCGGAACGUGCCCAGAAGUGGGGGAUAGCCCGGCGAAAGCCGGAUUAAUACCGCAUGAGACCUGAGGGUGAAAGCGGGGGAUCGCAAGACCUCGCGCUUUUGGAGCGGCCGAUGUCAGAUUAGCUAGUUGGUGGGGUAAAGGCCUACCAAGGCGACGAUCUGUAGCUGGUCUGAGAGGACGACCACCCACACUGGGACUGAGACACGGCCCAGACGCCUACGGGAGGCAGCAGUGGGGAAUGUUGGACAAUGGGCGCAAGCCUGAUCCAGCCAUGCCGCGUGCGGGAAGAAGGCCUUCGGGUUGUAAACCGCUUUUGUCAGGGAAGAAAUGCUCUGGGCUAAUACCCUGGGGUAAUGACGGUACCUGAAGAAUAAGCACCGGCUAACUACGUGCCAGCCGCCGCGGUAA